This 433-nucleotide ribosomal RNA is filed under the name uncultured bacterium. Its description in RNAcentral is "partial 16S ribosomal RNA". It matches the Rfam family "Bacterial small subunit ribosomal RNA", at positions 29 to 507 of the family's 1533-position model. The record is from RNAcentral.
AACGAACGCUGGCGGCAUGCCUAACACAUGCAAGUCGAACGAGACCUUCGGGUCUAGUGGCGCACGGGUGCGUAACGCGUGGGAACCUGCCCUUAGGUUCGGAAUAACUCCCCGAAAGGGGUGCUAAUACCGGAUAAUGUCUUCGGACCAAAGAUUUAUCGCCUUUGGAUGGGCCCGCGUUGGAUUAGCUAGUUGGUAGGGUAAAAGCCUACCAAGGCGACGAUCCAUAGCUGGUCUGAGAGGAUGAUCAGCCACACUGGGACUGAGACACGGCCCAGACUCCUACGGGAGGCAGCAGUGGGGAAUAUUGGACAAUGGGCGAAAGCCUGAUCCAGCAAUGCCGCGUGAGUGAUGAAGGCCUUAGGGUUGUAAAGCUCGUUUACCCGGGAGGAUAAUGACAGUACCGGGAGAAUAAGCUCCGGCUAACUCCGUG